CAGUCUUAGGAUCUGACAGGCCUCUAGAGACUUAGGCAAGCUGUGAGUGGAAUGGGGAGGCAUAACUUCAGAGGGGCAUCUUGGUCAAACAGCGUUUGCCAUCACCCCUGCUGCUGUUUGAAGAAUUUACAGUAUGCGUGUUUCGGAGGAGAAGGUGAGGGUGGAGCAAGAACAGAAGCUAGGAGGCCAGUUAGGAAUGUAUUGAAAUAGCCCACAUGAGAUAGGCAGGGCAGGGUGUAAUAGUGUAGGUGGUGAUGGGGGGUUACAUUCCUUACACCUUGUCAUGGUAGAAUCUACUGGAUUUGCUCACCAGCUUGUAUGUUAGGUGGGAGGGAAAUUGAAGUUGGCCUGAGGUUACUCAAGAUGUAAGCACCUAAACUAUUUUUGGCACUUUGAUGAACAACUAUAGACCUAGAGGCUAGAAUGUUAAGAUUAUAAUCCUUGGCUCCUUGCAACUCUUGCUUUCAGCCCAACCCAGACCUGCUGACAUAACCUGCUUUUUAACAAGAUCUGCAGGUUGGUGUAGACAUCGGAGCUCGUCACCGCUUUCUUGCUCAGAAGUGAUAGUGUCAGGCUCUGGCCUCAGCUUCAUUCCCUGUAAGUGGCAUCAGCUUGACAAAAGUGGCUUCAGUCCGUUAGCUUGAAGAUGUGGGGAGAGUCUAGUCAGAAUUCCAAUGACACCAGUCUAGUCCCAGGAAGGAGAUCACUGGACCUGUCAUUCUUUACGAUGGAGCAUUACUUUCAGGAGCCUGGCACAGACUGCUUACUCCUGGGAACCUUACAGGACAUUUAUACUGAGUCUAGUGGAAUUAAAAACCAGACUAGCUGCA
Long non-coding RNA from Ochotona princeps (American pika), 830 nucleotides. RefSeq lists it as uncharacterized. The record is from RefSeq and is a predicted model, not a curated record. The transcript is spliced from 2 exons. Lineage: Eukaryota; Metazoa; Chordata; Mammalia; Lagomorpha; Ochotonidae.